Molecule: ribosomal RNA, 451 nt
Filed under: uncultured bacterium
Lineage: Bacteria
Description: partial 16S ribosomal RNA
Rfam family: Bacterial small subunit ribosomal RNA
Source: RNAcentral
GUGGGGAAUAUUGGACAAUGGGGGGAACCCUGAUCCAGCCAUGCCGCGUGUGUGAAGAAGGCCUUUUGGUUGUAAAGCACUUUAAGUGGGGAGGAGGCUUACCUGGUUAAUACCUGGGCUAAGUGGACGUUACCCACAGAAUAAGCACCGGCUAACUCUGUGCCAGCAGCCGCGGUAAUACAGAGGGUGCGAGCGUUAAUCGAAUUUACUGGGCGUAAAGCGCGCAGAGGUGGCCAAUUAAGUCAAAUGUGAAAUCCCCGAGCUUAACUUGGGAAUUGCAUUCGAUACUGGUUGGCUAGAGUAUGGGAGAGGAUGGUAGAAUUCCAGGUGUAGCGGUGAAAUGCGUAGAGAUCUGGAGGAAUACCGAUGGCGAAGGCAGCCAUCUGGCCUAAUACUGACACUGAGGUGCGAAAGCAUGGGGAGCAAACAGGAUUAGAAACCCUAGUAGUCC